UGGACCGAUGAUGAAUUGCAUGGGGUUUCUGAAACCAGGACUCUGAUUAAGCCCAUCUGCAACUCUGAGGUCCGU
Molecule: small nucleolar RNA, 75 nt
Organism: Cavia aperea (Brazilian guinea pig)
Lineage: Eukaryota; Metazoa; Chordata; Mammalia; Rodentia; Caviidae
Product: small nucleolar RNA, C/D box 113-6
Source: Ensembl